This 547-nucleotide ribosomal RNA is filed under the name uncultured archaeon. RNAcentral's name for it is "bacterial SSU rRNA". It matches the Rfam family "Archaeal small subunit ribosomal RNA", at positions 330 to 879 of the family's 1478-position model. The record is from RNAcentral.
GCGCAGCAGGCGCGAAAACUCCACAAUGUACGGAAGUACGAUGGGGUUAUCUCGAGUGCAGUCCGAUAAGGGCUGCUUUUCCAUAGAGUAAUAUCCUGUGGGAAUAAGAGGGGGGCAAGACUGGUGUCAGCCGCCGCGGUAACACCAGCCCCUCGAGUGGUGGGGACUAUUAUUUGGCCUAAAGCGUCCGUAGCUGGCUGUAUCCGUCCCCCGUUAAAUCCAGCGUCCUAAGCGUUGGACUGCGGGUGAUACCAUACAGCUAGAGGGUGGGAUAGGUGAGCGGUAUUUCUGGGGUAGGGGCGAAAUCCUUUGAUCCCAGGAGGACCACCAGUGGCGAAGGCUGCUCACUAGAACACGCCUGACGGUCAGGGACGAAAGCUGGGGCAGCGAACCGGAUUAGAUACCCGGGUAGUCCCAGCUGUAAACGAUGCUAGCUAGGUGUUGGGUCGGCCACGUGCCGCCCCAGUGCCGCAGGGAAGCCGUUAAGCUAGCCGCCUGGGGAGUACGGCCGCAAGGCUGAAACUUAAAGGAAUUGGCGGGGGAGCAC